This 587-nucleotide ribosomal RNA is filed under the name uncultured bacterium. Its description in RNAcentral is "bacterial SSU rRNA". It matches the Rfam family "Bacterial small subunit ribosomal RNA", at positions 102 to 675 of the family's 1533-position model. The record is from RNAcentral.
ACGGGUGAGUAACACGUGGGCAACCUGCCCUUGAGACUGGGAUAACUUCGGGAAACCGGAGCUAAUACCGGAUAAUAUAAGGAACCUCCUGGUUCCUUAUUGAAAGAUGGUUUCGGCUAUCACUUAAGGAUGGGCCCGCGGCGCAUUAGCUAGUUGGUGAGGUAACGGCUCACCAAGGCGACGAUGCGUAGCCGACCUGAGAGGGUGAUCGGCCACACUGGGACUGAGACACGGCCCAGACUCCUACGGGAGGCAGCAGUAGGGAAUCUUCCACAAUGGACGAAAGUCUGAUGGAGCAACGCCGCGUGAGUGAUGAAGGCCUUCGGGUCGUAAAGCUCUGUUGUUAGGGAAGAACAAGUGCGAGAGUAACUGCUCGCACCUUGACGGUACCUAACCAGAAAGCCACGGCUAACUACGUGCCAGCAGCCGCGGUAAUACGUAGGUGGCAAGCGUUAUCCGGAAUUAUUGGGCGUAAAGCGCGCGCAGGUGGUUUCUUAAGUCUGAUGUGAAAGCCCACGGCUCAACCGUGGAGGGUCAUUGGAAACUGGGGAACUUGAGUGCAGAAGAGGAAAGUGGAAUUCCAAGUG